Molecule: long non-coding RNA, 2824 nt
Organism: Camelus dromedarius (Arabian camel)
Lineage: Eukaryota; Metazoa; Chordata; Mammalia; Artiodactyla; Camelidae
Source: Ensembl
AUGGGCUGCGCCCCGACAUCCACAUUUCCGAAAGCCGGGCUGUGUACACGGCGGCAAGGAGGCCGAGGACGCGCCGGGCCCCGCGGCGCCGCCGCUGCCGCGGCGGGCCGCGCCUCCCACCCGCCAGAAGAACGGCCGCCGCGGCCGGGUCCCGCGCGGCCAGCCUCGCGGAGUCUGAGCCUCGCGGCUGCAGCGGCAGUAAGCUUGAGACAGUGGUUUCUUUCUGGAUUGAAUGUUUCAUUGAAGAAUAAAUUAGGACGUUUUGUUUGUCUUCUACCAAAGUGAGUGGACAUAGUUCAUAUCCUUUCUUUUCCCAUGCUUCAUUUUAGCAACUUCUCUGAAGUUUGCCUUUCCAUCAAGAAAGUAUACAGAAUAAAUAUAUCAUACAAAUUGCAGGAUACAUUUGGUUUAUAGCUGGAUAUUAUCUCUAUAUUACACAGGCUUCCUUUAUUUCUUGAGUUGGAAUGUUCCAAACCCUUUUGGAAUUUGAACAGUUUGUCAAAUUUACUGAUUUUUUUAAUAGCACCUCCAUCUUGGGAAAAAAAAUGCCACAUGGUGUUCCUGAAGGAACGUUUGAGAGAAUUAUGUGGUAUUCAGUAAAGCAAUUGGAAAUAACCUUUAAGUAUUUAGGAAUACUAAAUACUUAAAGUUCAAGAAACUAAUUUGCACAGCCAGAAGCUGUUAGCUCAGCACACAGACACCUCAUGCUGCUGUGGUGACAAAUGUAAACCCUGAAGGCCCACCCUGACUCAUUCCUCUCAGAGUGUGGGGAACAGUGGAGGGCGGACAACCUCAUCAGUAGAACUGCCCUCCAUUGCUUGUUUCAAAAAAGAUUUGAGGUGAAAAAUACUUACUGUAGGAUUAAAAAAGCGAACAGAUAAGAGAAUUGGGCCCACAGGAACACAGGGGUAGACUCAUCACUUGAGUCAGGUGUCAGGUCAUAUGUGAUAAUGCUUGCCACAGGGACUUGCAUGGUUGCCAGGGAGCUGGGUCACACAUUUGGCUCUGAGCUUCCACAGCGUCCACAAAUAGGAAAAUAGUUCCAGAAUUCCUGAGAUUUAACAGAAGCUAAUGACUCAGUAGAAGUGUAGCUUCUGAGCCCAGGCCUAAAGAAAUCAGUCUCCUGGGCACUUCUAAAGGAACAAGGCUCUCAACAAUGUUCCCACAGUAAAUGUGGUGGUGAGUGUCCCUUAGUGCAAGCUGAGGUCACAGUGCUGGAUGUGGAAUCCAAGUCAGGCCAAAGUAAGUGGGCCCAGGCACCCUGAUAAUUUGAUUUAGGAGUUAAAAUUUAGUCUGGGAGAAUGAUACAUUACCAGUUUUAAAUCUUGGCUAAUUUUAUUUACAUUUAUUUGAUUAGAAGUGAAGACCAAUCUUUUUCCAAAUUCUUAUCAACCAUUUGUAAUUUCUCUUUCGUAUAUUGUUUGUUACUUUGACCAUUUCCUAUUAGAGAACUGGAGGGGUUUUUUUAUUUGUAUGGAAUUUAAAAAAAUUAAGAAUGUUGUUAGUCCAUUUGUCAUUUAUGGUAAAUAACUUUUUGACCCUAAUUUGCCUUUUAAAUUGCUUAUGAUAAACCUUUCUGGAUUGCUUAUUGGAACGGGACAAGCGAUUAUGCUGGGAGUGGGAGCAUGGGGUUAGGGAAGCUGGCUUGAGGAGGGGACCAUCUGGAAUAGUCCCUACCAGGAAGGGAGAAGGAGUGGUCAUGGAAAGCGCCCUGGGCAGCACUUGGCACCCCGCUGCUGUUUGAUGACAUGCGUUUAUCUGCCACUCUGCAAGGUUGUGUGACUCUGCAGCAGUGUUAGGCUGCUUUUGUGUGUGUGGGCAUGAGCUGGACAGUUGGGUUGAUCUGGAAUUGAAGUUUUGCUUUUCUCAGAAUGUCCCCUAGCUAUUGACAAGGCAGACAAGGGAGCAAGAGUUUGGGUUUGACAGAAGUAGCAGACACAAGAAGAGGCCUUGGAGUCUAGGAGGACAGCUGAGAUAAGGCCUGGUAGUCUCAGGUAAAGGUACAAGAGGUUAGUCCUGAGCACAGCAUCUGAGGUGUAGAACUGCUCAGCACCAUUAACUGUCACAGCAGCGGGCGGUGGCAGUGGCAGUGGCAGUGGCAGUGGCAGUAAGGACUGCAGAAGAAGCAGGCCACACAAGCACAAAGACAAGUAAAACUAAUUCUGCUGCUGGAAGUCACAGUGGUGCCGGAAGGGCAGACUGAGGGGCCUCUAGUGCGCUGGUGGUGUUGCUUCUUGAUCCAGGUGCUGGUUAUACAGGUGUGUUCAGGUUGUGAAAAUUCAUCUUAGUACGCUUAUGAUAUAGGCACUUUUCUCUGUGUUCAAUAAAAUGUAAAGAAGUGAAAGAGAGUGAGUGCACACUUUGGUGCCAGAUCACCUGUUUUCAAACCUGCCACUUUAUAGCUGUGGGACCUUGGGAAAAUUAUUUAACCUCUCUGUGUCUCAGAUUUCAAGUCAUGUAGAAUGAGAAUAAUAAUAGCACUUACUCUAGGAGUGCUGUGAGGAUUAAGUGAUCCAUCCAUGUCAAGCACUCUGAAUAGUGCCUGCCACAUAGUAAACAUUCCCUAUUAGUUAUUGUUAAUAAUGGUUAUUAUUAUAAAGGGAAGAGGUGUGAGCGAGAACUGAUGAACUGGGCAGUUGUGGUCAGAGGAAGCUGGUGGAAAUUCUGUCAAAUGACGUCCUGGGUGUGACCGUGCAGUUGUGCCUGGGGUGGGGUGGGGUGGACUGUGGGUCACAGUCAGAAUUCAGUGGAGGGAACUGGGGUGUGAUGGUGUCACCAUAUGAACCCUGAUGUUGCCUAGGGCUUGAGGUGGAGAAGACUGAUC